RNAcentral lists this ribosomal RNA (478 nucleotides) under uncultured bacterium. Its description in RNAcentral is "partial 16S ribosomal RNA". It matches the Rfam family "Bacterial small subunit ribosomal RNA", at positions 28 to 523 of the family's 1533-position model. The record is from RNAcentral.
GACGAACGCUGGCGGCGUGCUUAACACAUGCAAGUCGAACGGUAAGGCCCUUCGGGGUACACGAGUGGCGAACGGGUGAGUAACACGUGGGUGAUCUGCCCUGCACUUCGGGAUAAGCCUGGGAAACUGGGUCUAAUACCGUGUAUGACCAUGCGCUUCACGGUGUGUGGUGGAAAGCUUUUGCGGUGUGGGAUGGGCCCGCGGCCUAUCAGCUUGUUGGUGGGGUAAUGGCCUACCAAGGCGACGACGGGUAGCCGGCCUGGGAGGGUGACCGGCCACACUGGGACUGAGAUACGGCCCAGACUCCUACGGGAGGCAGCAGUGGGGAAUAUUGCACAAUGGGCGCAAGCCUGAUGCAGCGACGCCGCGUGAGGGAUGACGGCCUUCGGGUUGUAAACCUCUUUCAGUAGGGACGAAGCGCAAGUGACGGUACCUACAGAAGAAGGACCGGCCAACUACGUGCCAGCCGCCGCCGUAA